This 1433-nucleotide ribosomal RNA is filed under the name uncultured organism. Its description in RNAcentral is "SSU rRNA". It matches the Rfam family "Bacterial small subunit ribosomal RNA". The record is from RNAcentral.
UUAACACAUGCAAGUCGAGGGGCAGCAUGGUCUUAUCUUGCUAAGGCCGAUGGCGACCGGCGCACGGGUGAGUAACACGUAUCCAACCUGCCGUCUACUCUUGGACAGCCUUCUGAAAGGAAGAUUAAUACAAGAUGGCAUCAUGAGUCCGCAUGUUCACAUGAUUAAAGGUAUUCCGGUAGACGAUGGGGAUGCGUUCCAUUAGAUAGUAGGCGGGGUAACGGCCCACCUAGUCUUCGAUGGAUAGGGGUUCUGAGAGGAAGGUCCCCCACAUUGGAACUGAGACACGGUCCAAACUCCUACGGGAGGCAGCAGUGAGGAAUAUUGGUCAAUGGGCGAGAGCCUGAACCAGCCAAGUAGCGUGAAGGAUGACUGCCCUAUGGGUUGUAAACUUCUUUUAUAAAGGAAUAAAGUCGGGUAUGGAUACCCGUUUGCAUGUACUUUAUGAAUAAGGAUCGGCUAACUCCGUGCCAGCAGCCGCGGUAAUACGGAGGAUCCGAGCGUUAUCCGGAUUUAUUGGGUUUAAAGGGAGCGUAGAUGGAUGUUUAAGUCAGUUGUGAAAGUUUGCGGCUCAACCGUAAAAUUGCAGUUGAUACUGGAUAUCUUGAGUGCAGUUGAGGCAGGCGGAAUUCGUGGUGUAGCGGUGAAAUGCUUAGAUAUCACGAAGAACUCCGAUUGCGAAGGCAGCCUGCUAAGCUGCAACUGACAUUGAGGCUCGAAAGUGUGGGUAUCAAACAGGAUUAGAUACCCUGGUAGUCCACACGGUAAACGAUGAAUACUCGCUGUUUGCGAUAUACUGCAAGCGGCCAAGCGAAAGCGUUAAGUAUUCCACCUGGGGAGUACGCCGGCAACGGUGAAACUCAAAGGAAUUGACGGGGGCCCGCACAAGCGGAGGAACAUGUGGUUUAAUUCGAUGAUACGCGAGGAACCUUACCCGGGCUUAAAUUGCAGAUGAAUUACGGUGAAAGCCGUAAGCCGCAAGGCAUCUGUGAAGGUGCUGCAUGGUUGUCGUCAGCUCGUGCCGUGAGGUGUCGGCUUAAGUGCCAUAACGAGCGCAACCCUUGUUGUCAGUUACUAACAGGUUCCGCUGAGGACUCUGACAAGACUGCCAUCGUAAGAUGUGAGGAAGGUGGGGAUGACGUCAAAUCAGCACGGCCCUUACGUCCGGGGCUACACACGUGUUACAAUGGGGGGUACAGAGGGCCGCUACCACGCGAGUGGAUGCCAAUCCCCAAAACCUCUCUCAGUUCGGACUGGAGUCUGCAACCCGACUCCACGAAGCUGGAUUCGCUAGUAAUCGCGCAUCAGCCACGGCGCGGUGAAUACGUUCCCGGGCCUUGUACACACCGCCCGUCAAGCCAUGGGAGCCGGGGGUACCUGAAGUGCGUAACCGCGAGGAGCGCCCUAGGGUAAAACUGGUGACUGGGGCUAAA